AGAGUUUGAUCCUGGCUCAGGAUGAACGCUAGCUACCAGGCUUAACACAUGCAAGUCGAGGGGAAACGACAUCGAAAGCUUGCUUUUGUAUGGGCGUCGACCGGCGCACGGGUGAGUAACGCGUAUCCAACCUGCCCACCACUUGGGGAUAACCUUGCGAAAGUAAGACUAAUACCCAAUGAUAUCUCUAGAAGACAUCUGAGAGAGAUUAAAGAUUUAUCGGUGAUGGAUGGGGAUGCGUCUGAUUAGCUUGUUGGCGGGGUAACGGCCCACCAAGGCGACGAUCAGUAGGGGUUCUGAGAGGAAGGUCCCCCACAUUGGAACUGAGACACGGUCCAAACUCCUACGGGAGGCAGCA
RNAcentral lists this ribosomal RNA (358 nucleotides) under uncultured bacterium. RNAcentral's name for it is "bacterial SSU rRNA". It matches the Rfam family "Bacterial small subunit ribosomal RNA", at positions 8 to 353 of the family's 1533-position model. The record is from RNAcentral.